GUUGAUGGCUAGUGCUACAGUGGAGCGAGUGCAGAUUACUAGCAUCAAGGAUUUUUGCUUUUGGACAAUAAUGGACGCAAUGUAGGACAGCACAUGUUGUUAGAAGCAGCAGAACUCAUCAGGAAUGAGGACAGAACUGCUGAAAUAGGGGUUAUUUGUGAAUAGCCAACCGUAGUGAACAGUGAAGAAGUGCUCACCGACUUCUUAAUGUUCACUGUUCAUCAAGAACAAGCAAGGGUAACAUUGCGCAUUUCGCUUUGACUUACUCGAAUCGAGAAAAAAACUUGUUUCGAAGGGGGAUUGGUAUUGCGAGUUAUUUUCGACAUACCCAUUUCAUUGCAGUUGAUUUCGAGCAAACAAUGAUUCGAAAAUAAAUGUCAAAUUUGUCCAAAAGCUAGACAAUUUUAUUUUCGUGUAAAAUA
Molecule: long non-coding RNA, 422 nt
Organism: Wyeomyia smithii (pitcher-plant mosquito)
Lineage: Eukaryota; Metazoa; Arthropoda; Insecta; Diptera; Culicidae
Exons: 2
Source: RefSeq, a predicted model, not a curated record